This 500-nucleotide ribosomal RNA is filed under the name uncultured bacterium. RNAcentral's name for it is "partial 16S ribosomal RNA". It matches the Rfam family "Bacterial small subunit ribosomal RNA", at positions 30 to 523 of the family's 1533-position model. The record is from RNAcentral.
AUUGAACGCUGGCGGAAUGCUUUACACAUGCAAGUCGAACGGCAGCACGGACUUCGGUCUGGUGGCGAGUGGCGAACGGGUGAGUAAUGUAUCGGAACGUGCCCAGUCGUGGGGGAUAACGUAGUGAAAAUUACGCUAAUACCGCAUACGAUCUAUGGAUGAAAGCGGGGGAUCGCAAGACCUCGCGCGAUUGGAGCGGCCGAUAUCAGAUUAGGUAGUUGGUGGGGUAAAGGCCCACCAAGCCAACGAUCUGUAGCUGGUCUGAGAGGACGACCAGCCACACUGGAACUGAGACACGGUCCAGACUCCUACGGGAGGCAGCAGUGGGGAAUUUUGGACAAUGGGCGAAAGCUUGAUCCAGCCAUUCCGCGUGCAGGAUGAAGGCCCUCGGGUUGUAAACUGCUUUUGUACAGAACGAAAAGGUUUCUACUAAUACUAGGAGCUCAUGACGGUGCUGUAAGAAUAAGCACCGGCUAACUACGUGCCAGCCGCCGCCGUAA